This 21-nucleotide microRNA is filed under the name Mus musculus (house mouse). RNAcentral describes it as "microRNA miRNA312". Lineage: Eukaryota; Metazoa; Chordata; Mammalia; Rodentia; Muridae. The record is from RNAcentral.
UGCCCACCCUUUACCCCGCUC